AGAAUAAUAGUCACAGCUAACAUUCAUCACACACAUACCAUGUGCCAGGCUCAGUGUCAAGAGCUUUCCUUACAACAGGUGUGUGAGGUUGAUACUGUUAUAAUCCCUAUAUAGCAGAUGAGAAAACUGAGGUUCAGAAAGGUAAUCAACUUGCUCAAGGUUACAUAGCUAUUAGGUUCUAGAAUUGGAAUUUGAACCCAGCUAGUAUGACUAUUGGGAAAGCACUCUUAUUGAGGCUCAACCUUGUCAUAGAAAGUGAAUAAUGCAACUUCAUUCAUUCACUCAUAGUUUCUACAAAUGUUUAUUGAACAUAUACUAUGUGCAAAGCAUUUUUGUGGUGAACACAACAUAGGUCCCAGUCCUUCUGUAACUUAUUUUUGAGCAGAAUAAACCAAAUCAUUAUACAAUACACUUACCUUGUAGGGUUGUUGUUAUGUACAUAAAAGUGCCUAACACAAACAUGUCACAUAGUGGAUAGCCAACAAAUAUUCCCAAGAAAUUUAUAACCUCAUGGGAAAGAUAAAAAAAUCCUGCACAAAUAACUGUAAUUCAAGAUAUAUUGUGGCAAGGUUUUAGAAGAGGCCAUAUUUUAUUUUAUUUUCCAGUUUUAUUGAGGUAUACAAAACACUGCACAUACAUAAUACUGUAAAAGCCCAGAGAAGGAAAUCCCUUCUGGUGGGCUUGAGAAGCCUUCAUGGAUGAGUUGGCAUCAUGACUUGGCCGUGGGGUGAAUGGGAUAGGUUUUUGGUAAGACACAUUGCAUGCAGAAAUACCAUGUGCUAAGACACAGAGGUGAUAAAGUUUAGGCAUUUUUGGGAACCAAAGGGUGAUUCUGUUGAUUAGGUAAAAGAGAGUAAUGGGAGGUAUGGCUGAAAAGACAAAAUGGAACCAACUCCUGGAAAUAAGAGUUUUGAUUGGGUUUGAAGAGGACAGAUAGGUAGUUUGGAAGAGUAAAGCAUGAGGCAGUGAUAGGUAAGCUGAGGAGGGAUGCUUUAGUAGUGGAUAACAUUUGGGUCUUUGGCACAAGGGCUGAGGCCACUGGAAGGCAGAAAAUGGUUGCAAAGAAAGAGCAUAAGAAUGUCAAAGGUUGCCUAUGUUCCCUGUACCCAGAGAAGGAAGACAAAUCUCCUUUGCCAUACUUGAUUUUAUUUUUCAGUAUCAUUGGGUAUAAUUUGUAUACAAAGCACUGUAAAUAAGGAAUGCAUACAAUUUGGUGCCCUAACCACUUUUCAGAAUGUUAUGUCAAUGGGAAAAUACAUUCUAUGGAUAUAUGCUUCAACUUUCGAAAUAUGAUUGGUCUGAAAAUUAAAGACUGUAUUCACAAAUUUUCAGAUCUGUUAACAAGAUUUAAUAGAUUUUCAAAGCUGGCCCAGACAACUUUCAACUUUGUUUCAUUAGGAAAAUGUAUUCCAAGGUCCAAACAACUGGAAAUGAACUUUUAGAAUACAGUCAAUACUUGAAUUGAGAGCUGCCUGUCUAGAAUUUCCUUAAUGGGCAACCACUGGUAAAUAUCUGUUUCCUUUAUCGUAUUUUCCAAAACUGCCCCAUCAUCAGGUUUUUUAACAAAAACCUGGGGAUUUUGUUAAAAUAUAUAGAUUUCUAGGCCCCUACCCUGGAGAUGCUAAUUCACUAGGUCUGGGGUGGACCCUGAGAAUUUGUGCUUCAAUAAAAGGUCCAAGGGAUUCUUAAGAUCAGGAAAGUGUGUACAAAUCUUUAUCAGAAUACCCUGUUUUUUGUUUUUUGUUUUUGAGGUAAGUGACUAUUUUGGUUCUCAACUGAAUUUUAACAAUGAAGGGAAAAUCUUUCCAGCAGGGCUUAAGAACUGUCAGUAGCUGACAACAUUUCAGCCUGAUUAGCUCCUGGGGUGAGGAGAUGGGGAUAUGUUCAUAUGCUGCUCUGUGCUUCCUUGUGAACUGGCAACAUCUCAAGAUGUUUCUGAUGCUGGAGAAUCCCUCAAAGUGAGACAGAACUGAAAGCCCUGGUCCCAAGAUGAGCCAGAGAUGGGGUCUCACAAUGUUGCCCAGACUGGUCUGAAAUUCCUGGACUCAAGUGAUCUGCCCACCUUGGCCUCCUAAAAUGCUGGAAUUAUAGGCAUGAGUCUCCAUCCUGGCUGCACUACAGUAAAGUUUAGUCUUCAACCUCA
RNAcentral lists this long non-coding RNA (2143 nucleotides) under Homo sapiens (human). RNAcentral's name for it is "HSALNT0390364". The record is from RNAcentral. Lineage: Eukaryota; Metazoa; Chordata; Mammalia; Primates; Hominidae.